GGUACGUAUUUCUGUAUCCUCACCAGUUGCUUUGGCAGCAAAGGCAUGGAAGGAAGACAGCUGUUUUCCGCACUUCUGCUUAUCUCUACCUUUACGGUGUUGGAAUGCAAAGUGCCUCGUGUCGGAAAAGUUUAUAAUAUCAAAAAGUUUUUAUGGACGACAACACCCAUAUGGACGUACAGUACCACAUCAGGCAGCGACUGCUUGUGUCAAGUGGACGUAAUGAAGCGUGAAACUGCAAAAGACAUCACUUUCGUUCACUUAUUUUAUGACCACGAUCACCACAGGAAAAGCAUCCCAUUAGUUGGAGUUCUUGACAAAAAGGAUGUCGUGUAUGUCCACCCUCAUGGUGUUAGCUACAAAUAUAAAGAGGAAAUUUCGUAUUUUGAUAAAGUCGCAAAAUGUGCUGUGAUCCACGUCUUGUCAAUGUCUUCAUAUUACGGCAAUACCAACAGAUACGACCUGAGAGUUUGGAACUCAUCAAAUAUAGCCAUUUCGGCUCAACCGUGUCUUCAGGCAUUCACAAAAGUACCUUUUCAAGGACACGUCGUUUAUAAACCGAUGUGCCAUAAGAUACUUCACGAAAGUUCACCAAAGCUGGAUGUUAAAGGAAAACAAUCAUCAAUGCAGUUUUUUUGUAGCGACAGAGCAUGACCUAUAAACGUCAAUAUGGAACACCUAAUACAAGUACUUAGCACGCAAAAACUUAGCAUGGAAAUAUAUGUUACACAGUGGUGCAUAUUCUACGCUCAAACAAAGAGAAGAUCUUAUAGAGUAUAAUGUUAGGGAGACAUGAAAUAGCUAUAAAACAGUUUUAAAUAUGCAUAAAAAUAGUGUGCGAGAUACAUACGUGAAUAUAUUAGCAAAUAUCUACAAAGAUUCCACAGCUACCUUGGUUCUCCACAAGGAAACUAGAAAGUUACCUAUCAAGAAAGGGAUCAGGCAAGGAGACAAAAUCUUUUCAAUGCUGUCCACUGCAUGCUUACAAGAAGUAUUGAAGCCAUUAGACAGGGAAGGUUUAGGAGUGAGAAUUAAUGAGGAAUAUAUCAGCAACUUUCAGUUUGCAGAUGAAAUUGUCCUGUUCAACAACACUGGAGACGAAUUACAACAAAUGCAACAAAAACGAGAAAGUGUAAGAGUGGGGUUGAAGAUUAAUAUGCAGAAGACAAAGCUAAUGUUCAACAGUCUGGCAAGAGAACAAGUAUUCAGGAUCACCAGUUAGCCUCAAGAGUCUGUACAGGAGUACGUUUAACCAGUUCAAUUACUCACAGGGGCCCCUGAUCAUGAGAGUGAAAUUAACAGAAUAAAAAUGGGCUGGACUGCAUACGGCAGGCAUUGCCAAAUCCUGACUGGGACCUUACCACUGUCGUUGAAAACAAAAAAGUGUACAAUCAUUGCAUUCUACCGGUGCUAACAUAUGGGGCAGAAACUUAGAGGUUAACAAAAAAGCUCUGGAACAAGUUAAGGACCGCACAGAGAGCAAUGGAACAAAAAUGUGUGAGGCCUAACGUUAACACACAGAAAGACAGCGGUGUGGAUCGGAAAGCAAACGGGGAUAGCAGAUAUGCUAAUUGACAUUAAGAGUAAAAAAAUGAGCUGGGCAGGCCAUGUAAUGCGUAGGAUGGGUAUCCGGUGGACCUUUAGAGUCACAGAAUGGGUGCCAAGAGAAUGAAAGCGCAGUCGAUGCCUGCAAAAAACUAGAUGGGGUGAUGAAAUGAGGAAAUUGGCAAGUGGAAAUUUGAACCAGCUAGCGCAAAACAGGGGUAAUUGGAGAUCUCAGGAAGAUCAGGCUUUCGUCCUACAGUGGAGAUAAAAAUAGGCUGAUGAUGAUGAUAAUGAAAAUAGUUAUGAUAUCAGAAAUGUUGCCUUGAUAAAUCAUCGUUGGCUAAAAUAGAGGUUAGCCGUCGUACCGUAUUUGUAUCUUGUGCCGCACGGCCUAAAGAGGGUUCAAACCUGAUAUAACGUCGGUGUUGUGAUUUCUGCACAGCACUAGUUAUCUAGCAUCUGCCUACGUGUUCGAGGUAAGAUUUAAGGGCUCUUAGCAAGGUAGCUACAAUGUCCAGCACAAGUCGCGGUCAAUGACAUGUAAUACAUGCAUUUUACGUAAUCGGUCCUUAUUGUGUGAAUGGCGCUACAUAAGUCAAUCAUAAAGAUGUAUAAAUGCCAUAUAAAUGGAACACGAAAAUAGAAAAAAGAAUAACGAACCGACUCCCUUUAACCUGCACUGCCGUGCAAGCUGUCUAUGCAGAACUUACGUAAAACUAACAUCAUCGCGAGAAAUAAAGACAGUCUAACCCACAUGAUCAUUGAAGCUUACCACAUUCAGAAAGCACAAUGCAGAUGCAUCAGCCAUCCAUCAAUCGCAUAAACAGUAAAAGAAAUAAAGUAUUGUAACAACAGGCAAACGUGUUGAUCGUAUGUAAACUUGCUACGGUAUGGCAUGUGCAAAAUGCGUUUCUGUUGUUGCGAAUGAGUUUUUCAUCUUCUUUUGUAUGCAUGCACUGUGAUAAGUUUUCCAUAGAGAUGUCGCUAUGUUUUCAAAAAAAGGAAGGCUUGUGAGUGCCUUCCUGUCCAACGGCCUGCGUAGAAUUUGU
This is a long non-coding RNA of Dermacentor silvarum, 2594 nucleotides long. RefSeq lists it as uncharacterized. The transcript has 5 exons. The record is from RefSeq and is a predicted model, not a curated record. Lineage: Eukaryota; Metazoa; Arthropoda; Arachnida; Ixodida; Ixodidae.